RNAcentral lists this ribosomal RNA (292 nucleotides) under uncultured bacterium. RNAcentral describes it as "partial 16S ribosomal RNA". It matches the Rfam family "Bacterial small subunit ribosomal RNA", at positions 773 to 1060 of the family's 1533-position model. The record is from RNAcentral.
GUGGAUUAGAUACCCUGGUAGUCCACGCCCUAAACGAUGCACACUAGUUGUUGCGAUGCUCGUCAUCGCAGUAAUGCACUUAACAGAUUAAGUGUGCCGCCUGGGGAGUACGGUCGCAAGAUUAAAACUCAAAGGAAUAGACGGGGACCCGCACAAGCGGUGGAGCAUGUGGUUUAAUUCGAAGAUACACGAAGAACCUUACCUGGGCUUGAUAUCCUAAGAAUCCUGUAGAGAUAUGGGAGUGCUAGUUUACUAGAACUUAGAGACAGGUGCUGCACGGCCGUCGCCAACU